This 497-nucleotide ribosomal RNA is filed under the name uncultured bacterium. RNAcentral's name for it is "partial 16S ribosomal RNA". It matches the Rfam family "Bacterial small subunit ribosomal RNA", at positions 28 to 507 of the family's 1533-position model. The record is from RNAcentral.
GAUGAACGCUGGCGGCGUGCCUAAUACAUGCAAGUCGAGCGAACAGACGAGGAGCUUGCUCCUCUGACGUUAGCGGCGGACGGGUGAGUAACACGUGGAUAACCUACCUAUAAGACUGGGAUAACUUCGGGAAACCGGAGCUAAUACCGGAUAAUAUAUUGAACCGCAUGGUUCAAUAGUGAAAGACGGGUUUGCUGUCACUUAUAGAUGGAUCCGCGCUGCAUUAGCUAGUUGGUAAGGUAACGGCUUACCAAGGCAACGAUGCGUAGCCGACCUGAGAGGGUCAUCGGCCACACGGUAACUGAGACACGGUCCAGACUCCUACGGGAGGCAGCAGUAGGGAAUCUUCCGCAAUGGGCGAAAGCUUGACGGAGCAACGUCGCGUGAGUGCUGAAGGUCUGCGGAUCGUAAAGCUCUGUUGUUAGGGAAGAACAAAUGUGUAAGUAACUAUGCACGUCUUGACGGUACCUAAUCAGAAAGCCACGGCUAACUACGUG